ACGAACGCUGGCGGCGUGCUUAACACAUGCAAGUCGAACGGAAAGGCCCUGCUUUUGUGGGGUGCUCGAGUGGCGAACGGGUGAGUAACACGUGAGUAACCUGCCCUUGACUUUGGGAUAACUUCAGGAAGCUGGGGCUAAUACCGGAUAGGAGCUCCUGCUGCAUGGUGGGGGUUGGAAAGUUUCGGCGGUUGGGGAUGGACUCGCGGCUUAUCAGCUUGUUCGUGGGGUAGUGGCUUACCAAGGCUUUGACGGGUAGCCGGCCUGAGAGGGUGACCGGCCACAUUGGGACUGAGAUACGGCCCAGACUCCUACGGGAGGCAGCAGUGGGGAAUAUUGCACAAUGGGCGGAAGCCUGAUGCAGCAACGCCGCGUGCGGGAUGACGGCCUUCGGGUUGUAAACCGCUUUCGCCUGUGACGAAGCGUGAGUGACGGUAAUGGGUAAAGAAGCACCGGCUAACUACGUG
RNAcentral lists this ribosomal RNA (467 nucleotides) under uncultured bacterium. RNAcentral's name for it is "partial 16S ribosomal RNA". It matches the Rfam family "Bacterial small subunit ribosomal RNA", at positions 29 to 507 of the family's 1533-position model. The record is from RNAcentral.